This 30-nucleotide non-coding RNA is filed under the name Rattus norvegicus (Norway rat). The record is from RNAcentral. Lineage: Eukaryota; Metazoa; Chordata; Mammalia; Rodentia; Muridae.
UGAAUCUCUGUAGGUCGAAAGGCGGGAAUC